ACUUUAUUUACUUUUAUUAGGUGCUCUUCGUUUGUGAGUUUCUUUUUGCAGAACCCACCCUUUCGUGGCUUAUUUUCUUCCUUAUUUUACUGGGUUUGCCUUGGCCUCGAGCUUAUCCCUCUGGGAGCAAGCGAGCUCGUAUUUUAUCUUUUGCUUUUUCAGGUGUCUCGGAUUUGAUGUUGAGGUCAGACCCUUGACUUUGUUUUUAUCUUUGUGUUGAGGUUGUGGCUUCGCUCGUACAUUCGUACUUUCCUUUUACCCCAUUCUUUUGGGUGAGGAUAAAAUCAUAGCUUUUAUUUUGUCAUUUGACCCUUACUAGCUCGGUCCUUCUUUCAUUCGGUCCUUCCAAGCUCGGUCUUACGCAUCUCAGCUCGGUCACCUACCUCACUGAGGUCUUGCACAAGAUUCAGGCUCUUUAGCCUUAUUGUCGCUUCGUCAUCUCAACCGGUUCUUGAGAUGCCAAGUCAUUUUCUGAGCUCGGUCACCUACCUCACUGAGGUCUUGCACAAGAUUCAGGCUCUUUGGCCUUAUUGUCGCUUCGUCAUCUCAGCUGGUUCUUGAGGUGCCGAGUCAUUUUCUGACCUCGAUCACCUACCUCAUUGAGGUCUUGCACAAGAUUCAGGCUCUUUGGCCUUACUGUCGCUUCGUCAUCUCAGCCGGUUCUUAAAGUGCUGAGUCAUUUUCUGAGCUCGGUCACCUACCUCACUGAGGUCUUGCAUAAGAUUCAGGCUCUUUGGCCUUACUAUCGCUUCGUCAUCUCAGCCGGUUCUUGAGGUGCCGAGUCAUUUUCUGAGCUCGGUCACCUACCUCACUAAGGUCUUGAAUAAGAUUCAGGCUCUCUUUUUUAAUGCCUGUUCUGUUUUCUUUUAAAGGAAAAUGAUGCGAAUGACAAAAAAAUGACGUUGUUUGACUUAUUUUGCAUAGUCAAUUUUAUUCACAUUGCUUCAAAAUA
RNAcentral lists this long non-coding RNA (952 nucleotides) under Manihot esculenta (cassava). RNAcentral describes it as "long non-coding RNA (MESC_LNC001928)". Lineage: Eukaryota; Viridiplantae; Streptophyta; Magnoliopsida; Malpighiales; Euphorbiaceae. The record is from RNAcentral.